ACACAUGCAAGUCGAGGGGCAGCAUGAUUGAAGCUUGCUUCAAUUGAUGGCGACCGGCGCACGGGUGAGUAACGCGUAUCCAACCUUCCGUACACUCAGGGAUAGCCUUUCGAAAGAAAGAUUAAUACCUGAUGGUAUGAUGAGAUUGCAUGAUAGCAUCAUUAAAGAUUUAUCGGUGUACGAUGGGGAUGCGUUCCAUUAGGUAGUAGGCGGGGUAACGGCCCACCUAGCCGACGAUGGAUAGGGGUUCUGAGAGGAAGGUCCCCCACAUUGGAACUGAGACACGGUCCAAACUCCUACGGGAGGCAGCAGUGAGGAAUAUUGGUCAAUGGACGAGAGUCUGAACCAGCCAAGUAGCGUGAAGGAUGAAGGUCCUACGGAUUGUAAACUUCUUUUAUAAGGGAAUAAAACCUCCCACGUGUGGGAGCUUGUAUGUACCUUAUGAAUAAGCAUCGGCUAACUCCGUGCCAGCAGCCGCGGUAAUACGGAGGAUGCGAGCGUUAUCCGGAUUUAUUGGGUUUAAAGGGAGCGCAGACGGGUCGUUAAGUCAGCUGUGAAAGUUUGGGGCUCAACCUUAAAAUUGCAGUUGAUACUGGCGUCCUUGAGUGCGGUUGAGGUGUGCGGAAUUCGUGGUGUAGCGGUGAAAUGCUCAGAUAUCACGAAGAACUCCGAUUGCGAAGGCAGCACACUAAGCCGUAACUGACGUUCAUGCUCGAAAGUGUGGGUAUCAAACAGGAUUAGAUACCCUGGUAGUCCACACGGUAAACGAUGGAUACUCGCUGUUGGCGAUAUACAGUCA
RNAcentral lists this ribosomal RNA (799 nucleotides) under uncultured bacterium. RNAcentral's name for it is "bacterial SSU rRNA". It matches the Rfam family "Bacterial small subunit ribosomal RNA", at positions 51 to 839 of the family's 1533-position model. The record is from RNAcentral.